AGGGGGGACGUACCAGACCAAGAAGUAGGACAUCACCGCCAGAGGAGUGGAGAAUACGAUCCUGAGGGAGAUGAAUGAGACAACUGGAUGAAUGAGCCAGAAGUUAAUGACAAGUUAAUGCAAUGACAAGAACAUUUCCCGCUUGUCCCCGCUGGCUGUCCCGAGAGCACUUCCCCUAACAAAGGCCAGAAAUGUCUUCAUGCGUAAAACGUGAGCGCCAUGGAAACACUGAAGCAACCCCCACUGCCGACUUCCUCAGAGGCCACACUCCCUCAUAAUGGAAACAGACUGGAUGGCGGCAAGUAGAGACAUGACACAACUGCUUACGUCACUAGCCGGCACAGAGGUCUCUCUACACUGUGCUAAUCUACUCUGGAUCUGUGACCAAAACAUCAUCCGGUGUUGCAUGACCCUUGAUGAAAGCACAUGACUAAAUUACUGGCAGACAGAUGAGACAGCAGGUUGCUUAGUAGUGGGAUGAUCAGGUACUGGUACAUUUUUCUUGUACUGUGGUAAUAUUUUGUCCAGCCGUUACAGUUUUCUUCCACAUCUCAAAGGCGUGAGUUCAGUGCAUCACGUAAAAAAAUUUGAGUACGUGUCGGGAAAUGCGUAAGAGUCCUACUCUGGGCUUACCUCCACCCCAGGGUACAACCGCAGUUACACACAUCCCUUACAAAAGUACACUGGUAAGCCGUUACCAAGUACAGGAGGACAUCUAGCUUUAGAUCACACACUGGUAUGGUACGUUUCUAGUGCUCCACGGCCAGAAAGAAAAAAAAAAAACACAACCCUGGAGUGUAAAGUCAUCCACCGCAACGUGACAAAGCUAUUCCACACAUGGGGAAGAUCUUCCCACAUCUAUCCUCUAACAGGCUGCGUGUAAACACUGCUCAGAAUCAAAGCGCAGCACUGAGUAAUUAGAGUAACUGUAUCCCAUUCGUUUUAUUUAAUCAACCCCACCUUACGAUCAGUUUACCGUGACACUGCAUCAUUCAUACAUUACUCAAUUGCCUACUUCCACUACUGGGAGAGACGGCGUGGCAUAACGGAUUUCUGUAACAAAAACCGUACUCUCAAAGUGCAAUUAUCAAGGAGCUAAAAGGUACAUCUGGUGUAAUUAAAGCCUCACAGAUUGUGAAACUGUUACACACAGCCAGCCGGUGGAUAUGCCACUGACAGCUGUCCGGACCAGUUUUCGACCGGCAGGGUGACGUGUGUUUAACGAACCGGCAGUUGAGGUUUAUCGCAAUAACCAUAACUAACCGGCUCUUAUUCUAUAAGCUGCAUUUAAAGUUCCAACGAAACCCAAGCACGUUUGCUGCGGUUUAUUUCUGUCCAGAUUUGUCCAGCAUUUGCUUACUCUACCCCUGAGCAGUCGUGUUUGUUUAAAACCAUUUUACAACUUGCAGUCAAUUGUACUUAACACGACGAAAGUGACAGAACACUGCUAUCCAUGGGAGAUCUGGGACUUCCUGUCUGUGCCCAGAUUAGAGACAAAAAAUAAAGUUCUUGCUUAGAAAAUA
Non-coding RNA from Paramormyrops kingsleyae, 1523 nucleotides. The record is from RefSeq and is a predicted model, not a curated record. NCBI's taxonomy places the organism in Eukaryota, Metazoa, Chordata, Actinopteri, Osteoglossiformes, Mormyridae.